Molecule: ribosomal RNA, 432 nt
Filed under: uncultured bacterium
Lineage: Bacteria
Description: partial 16S ribosomal RNA
Rfam family: Bacterial small subunit ribosomal RNA
Source: RNAcentral
AACGAACGCUGGCGGCAUGCCUAACACAUGCGAGUCGAACGAGACCUUCGGGUCUAGUGGCGCACGGGUGCGUAACGCGUGGGAACCUGCCCUUAGGUUCGGAAUAACUCCCCGAAAGGGGUGCUAAUACCGGAUAAUGUCUUCGGACCAAAGAUUAUCGCCUUUGGAUGGGCCCGCGUUGGAUUAGCUAGUUGGUAGGGUAAAAGCCUACCAAGGCGACGAUCCAUAGCUGGUCUGAGAGGAUGAUCAGCCACACUGGGACUGAGACACGGCCCAGACUCCUACGGGAGGCAGCAGUGGGGAAUAUUGGACAAUGGGCGAAGGCCUGAUCCAGCAAUGCCGCGUGAGUGAUGAAGGCCUUAGGGUUGUAAAGCUCUUUUACCCGGGAUGAUAAUGACAGUACCGGGAGAAUAAGCGCCGGCUAACUCCGUG